AUGUACCACUCGUACACUCCGGUUCCUGUGCACCGUCCACGCCCACCUGACGACCGCUCGCUACGUUUUGUUAGCC
RNAcentral lists this small RNA (76 nucleotides) under Xanthomonas axonopodis pv. vasculorum. RNAcentral describes it as "sX9". It matches the Rfam family "Xanthomonas sRNA sX9". The record is from RNAcentral. Lineage: Bacteria; Pseudomonadati; Pseudomonadota; Gammaproteobacteria; Lysobacterales; Lysobacteraceae.